AAUGAACGCUGGCGGCAUGCCUAAUACAUGCAAGUCGAACGGCAGCACGGGAAGUUUUCUCCUCUGAUGUUAGCGGCGGGCGGGUGAGUAACACAUGGAUAAGCUACCUAUUAGACGGGGGUAACUUCGAAGCACCGUAGAUACUACCGACGAAUAUUUUGUACCGGCGGGUGCACAAGUGACAGAGGGUCUUGCUGUUAGUUGUAGCUGGAUCCGCGCUGGAUUAGCUAGUUGGUAAGGUAACGGCCUACCAAGGAAACGAUGCAUAGCCGAGCUGAGAGGGAGACCGGCCACACUGGGACUGAGACACGGUCCAGACUCCUACGGGAGGCAGCAGUAGGGAAUUUUGCGCAAUGGGCGAAAGCCUGACGGAGCAACGCCGCGUGAGUGAAGAAGGUCUUCGGAUCGUAAAACUCUGUUAUUAGGGAAGAAAACAUGUGUAAGUAACUGCGCGCAGCUUGACGGUACCUAAACAGAAAGCCACGGCUAACUACGUG
Molecule: ribosomal RNA, 497 nt
Filed under: uncultured bacterium
Lineage: Bacteria
Description: partial 16S ribosomal RNA
Rfam family: Bacterial small subunit ribosomal RNA
Source: RNAcentral